This 943-nucleotide ribosomal RNA is filed under the name uncultured SAR86 cluster bacterium. RNAcentral's name for it is "partial 16S ribosomal RNA". Lineage: Bacteria; Pseudomonadati; Pseudomonadota; Gammaproteobacteria. The record is from RNAcentral.
UUCCGACUUCAUGGAGUCGAGUUGCAGACUCCAAUCCGGACUACGAAAGACUUUUUAGGAUUAGCACCACCUCGCGGCUUAGCGUCCGUCUGUAUCUCCCAUUGUAGCACGUGUGUAGCCCUACUCGUAAGGGCCAUGAUGACUUGACGUCGUCCUCACCUUCCUCCGGUUUAUCACCGGCAGUCCCCUUAUAGUUCCCGACCGAAUCGCUGGCAAAUAAGGGUAAGGGUUGCGCUCGUUAUCCGACUUAACGGAACAUCUCACGACACGAGCUGACGACAGCCAUGCAGCACCUGUAUCUUGGUUCCAAAAGGCACACUCUCAUUACAAGAGCCUCCAAGUAUGUCAAGAGUAGGUAAGGUUUUUCGCGUUGCAUCGAAUUAAACCACAUGCUCCACCGCUUGUGCGGGUCCCCGUCAAUUCAUUUGAGUUUUAGCCUUGCGGCCGUACUCCCCAGGCGGACAACUUAAAGCGUUAGCUGCGCCACUGAAAGACAUAGUCUCCCAACAGCUAGUUGUCAUCGUUUACGGCGUGGACUACCAGGGUAUCUAAUCCUGUUCGCUACCCACGCUUUCGCACCUCAGUGUCAGUACAGAUCCAGGAGGCCGCCUUCGCCACUGGUAUUCUUCAUAAUAUCUACGCAUUCCACCGCUACACUAUGAAUUCUACCUCCCUCUAUCGUACUCUAGUGAGUUAGUUUUGGAUGCAGUUCCUAGGUUGAGCCCAGGGCUUUCACAUCCAACUUAACAAACCACCUACGCGCGCUUUACGCCCAGUAAUUCCGAUUAACGCUUGCACCUUCCGUAUUACCGCGGCUGCUGGCACGGAAUUAGCCGGUGCUUAUUCUGCAGGUAACAUCAGGGUUAUAAGGUAUUAACUUAUAACUUUUUCUCCCUGCUUAAAGUGCUUUACAACCCGAAGGCCUUCUUCACACACGCGGUAU